CUUAUUGGAGAAAAUAGGACACAUAAAGAAACACAACAAUUGUCAAGAACAGUGUGAACAAGAAGCAGAUAUGCACAAGGCCCAGAGGUGUGAGCAGCCGUGGCACUCAGUGAUACUGUCCCAAGCCAGCCAAGAUAGGGAGGGUCGUGGAGACCUCCUGUCAUCCAUGAAGAUACGGAGCAUUGAAGUUGCCUCUAGAUUCAGGGAAGUCGAGCAAGUGCCUCCCUGCUUGAUCAGAUGAGCGCAGGUCGACGUGUUGUCGGUGCGGAUAAGGACAUCUGGAACGUGGCUUGCCAUCGGGAAACAAAUUGGGUCAGACGGCCGCCCACCCGCUGCGUUGGAGGAGAGUCAGAAACGUUGUUGGGCCUGACGCCCUUGUCUUGGGAGCAGAAGGCAGAGAAAGAGAGAAGAGAAGCAGCCUGAAACAAUAAACAAACAAUAAAGCAAAGGAGGAGUAGAGAAUUGAAAGGAAGACACAAAAUGGGUGAGAAAAAACACCACAGGGAGGAAAGAAGCUAGUCUAGAAUGGAAGACAGCCAAGUAGGAUGUGGUCCGAGCUGAGACAGGAAAUAAAACUGAGCCUCAGCAGGAAGGGAGGAGCAAAAAAACUUUUCCUGAAGCACUUCCUGUCUCUGAGCUGAAGGGGAAGCUGCAGAGUACCCAUGUGGAGACCUCUGUCAUUCAUGAGAGAAUUCUGUGCUCAGGCACAUCCUAAUUCUGCAGCAAGAAAAGCUAAAUUCUGUGACUUCAAUAAAGAAUGAAAAAUGAGCAAUUUUACAGAAUUCCAGUAACAACAG
Long non-coding RNA from Rhineura floridana, 797 nucleotides. RefSeq lists it as uncharacterized. NCBI's taxonomy places the organism in Eukaryota, Metazoa, Chordata, Lepidosauria, Squamata, Rhineuridae. The record is from RefSeq and is a predicted model, not a curated record. The transcript has 4 exons.